Non-coding RNA from Drosophila bipectinata, 397 nucleotides. The record is from RefSeq and is a predicted model, not a curated record. Lineage: Eukaryota; Metazoa; Arthropoda; Insecta; Diptera; Drosophilidae.
GUUGUCCUUAAAUUUAUCAAAAGUCCAUGCUAAAUCGGUUAAUGAAGCUUCCAUUGUGAGGAGGGAGGCCAUUUCUUCUGGUUCAGCUAAUCCUCCUUCAGAAAAUACUGCUUCAAAUUCUAAUAAUGAAGAUCAAAAUAAUCCAGUUGCUGCUGUAGAUUCUUCUGAUUCAGCUAAUCCACCUUCAGAAAAUACUGCUUCAAAUUCUAAUAAUGAAGAUGAAAAUAAUCAAGUUGCUGCUUUAGAUACUACUUCAACUACAAAUCUAGAUACUACUCCAGCUUAUACCGCUACCCCAGCUCAGGAUAACGAAAAUGCAGCUCUAGGAUUGGCUCCAUUUACAUUUCUUAUACUUUCCCUUACAUUUUUGAUAAAUAAACUUUAAUAGUUUCGAGCU